GACGAACGCUGGCGGCGUGCUUAACACAUGCAAGUCGAACGGAAAGGCCCUGCUUGCAGGGUACUCGAGUGGCGAACGGGUGAGUAACACGUGGGUGAUCUGCCCCGCACUUCGGGAUAAGCCUGGGAAACUGGGUUUAAUACCGGAUAGGAGCCAUUUUUAGUGUGAUGGUUGGAAAGUUUUUUCGGUGUAGGAUGAGCUCGCGGCCUAUCAGCUUGUUGGUGGGGUAAUGGCCUACCAAGGCGGCGACGGGUAGCCGGCCUGAGAGGGUGGACGGCCACAUUGGGGCUGGGGUACGGCCCAGACUCCUACGGGGGGCAGGAGUGGGGAAUAUUGCACAAUGGGGGCAAGCCUGAUGCAGCGACGCCGCGGGGGGGAUGACGGCCUUCGGGUUGUAAACUCCUUUCGCUAGGGACGAAGCUUUUUGUGACGGUACCUAGAUAAGAAGCACCGGCUAACUACGUG
This 465-nucleotide ribosomal RNA is filed under the name uncultured bacterium. Its description in RNAcentral is "partial 16S ribosomal RNA". It matches the Rfam family "Bacterial small subunit ribosomal RNA", at positions 28 to 507 of the family's 1533-position model. The record is from RNAcentral.